Molecule: ribosomal RNA, 252 nt
Filed under: uncultured bacterium
Lineage: Bacteria
Description: partial 16S ribosomal RNA
Rfam family: Bacterial small subunit ribosomal RNA
Source: RNAcentral
UACGGAGGAUGCGAGCGUUAUCCGGAUUUAUUGGGUUUAAAGGGUGCGUAGGCGGAUCGUUAAGUCAGUGGUCAAAUUGAGGGGCUCAACCCCUUCCCGCCAUUGAAACUGGCGCUCUUGAGUGGAAGGGAAGUAUGCGGAAUGCGUGGUGUAGCGGUGAAAUGCAUAGAUAUCACGCAGAACCCCGAUUGCGAAGGCAGCAUGCCGGCUUCCGACUGACGCUGAAGCACGAAAGCGUGGGGAUCGAACAGG